UUUAAGCGCAGUCAUGAGUUGAUCCGUAUCUAAGUUUGAUCGUCCGUCUUAUUUGAAAUUUGUAUAUAAUUAAUUUUUUUUGUUAUUAGAUGAUAAAACAUGAAUAGUUCUUUAUGCGUGAUUUAUGUUCUUUUAUUUUUUUAAAAAAAAUAUUUUUAAAUAAAACGAUAAAUUAAAGUUGGACACGAAAGUCAUGGUUGUGUUUAAA
Non-coding RNA from Oryza nivara, 208 nucleotides. The record is from Rfam. Lineage: Eukaryota; Viridiplantae; Streptophyta; Magnoliopsida; Poales; Poaceae.